This 258-nucleotide ribosomal RNA is filed under the name uncultured bacterium. RNAcentral describes it as "partial 16S ribosomal RNA". It matches the Rfam family "Bacterial small subunit ribosomal RNA", at positions 330 to 583 of the family's 1533-position model. The record is from RNAcentral.
CUCAGCCUACGGGGGGCAGCAGUAGGGAAUCUUCCACAAUGGGCGAAAGCCUGAUGGAGCAACGCCGCGUGGGUGAAGAAGGUCUUCGGAUCGUAAAACCCUGUUGUUAGAGAAGAAAGUGCGCGAGAGUAACUGUUCACGUUUCGACGGUAUCUAACCAGAAAGCCACGGCUAACUACGUGCCAGCAGCCGCGGUAAUACGUAGGUGGCAAGCGUUGUUCGGAAUAACUGGGCGUAAAGGAUGCGUAGGCGGUUAAA